AAAGGCUGGUGGGAGGCCAAGCCGUGGCCGCACACCUGGCGGGUGCGGCCCAUCGAGCCCGUUACUGGGAGGGCCGGCAGGUCGGGCUGCUGUUGCAGUCCGACUACCGGGACGCCAUGGAGCGUAUCAGGACCCUAUGAUGAUGAUGUAUGUAUGAAGGUCUGGAGCUAGCUGCCGUCUUCGGGAUGUGCCAUUUGUUUUCAAAAUUAUUUACUCAUCCAAGUCCAUUUAAAUAAAAGUGUAUUAUAGUAAACAGUAUUGUGUUUUGUUACAGUGAAUAUGUGGGGAAUGGUGGACAUGCCUUAGUGUGACUGGA
Long non-coding RNA from Sycon ciliatum, 316 nucleotides. RefSeq lists it as uncharacterized. Lineage: Eukaryota; Metazoa; Porifera; Calcarea; Leucosolenida; Sycettidae. The record is from RefSeq and is a predicted model, not a curated record. The transcript is spliced from 3 exons.